Molecule: long non-coding RNA, 2051 nt
Organism: Anolis carolinensis (green anole)
Lineage: Eukaryota; Metazoa; Chordata; Lepidosauria; Squamata; Anolidae
Exons: 4
Source: RefSeq, a predicted model, not a curated record
CACCACAAAGACUGUUGCUAGGUGACAAUCCAGUGGCUUUUUGUGAUGUCACUGGAUUGGCUGUUGCUAAGUAAAGGAUUGGCUAAGUCUAGGCAUGAUGUCUGACAUAUAUAUGAGGAGAAGUAAGGAAGUAGGAAAAGAGCCACAAAGCCAGCUUGCCAUGGAGACAUUGUGAGGCUCUCUUGGAGCUGGAGAAGGGGAAAGGGGAGAGAGAGGAAAGGAAGGAAAGUCAGAGAAAAAAGAAGGGAAAGAAGAAGGAAAGGGGGAAAGGAAAAAGGAGGGAAGGAAGGAAGAAAAAGGAAAAGAGAAAAGCAAUGUUGUAACCACCUCAAGACGUGAGGAGAAGCAGUUCACAAUAUAACAGGAGAAAACAUCCUUGUCGUCUCUUCACAAUGUCUUUUCAGUGGUGGAUUACAACUGGCGUUUGACUAAUGAAACAGUAUGCUCCCCAAUCAGCUAUGAAACUCCCUCACUUGACUAACCUAGAUGUUGAAGUUAAGCAGACAACUGUACCAAGGGAACAGGAAGAGGAUCAAGGUCAAUCCUGAUGAGGAGCAAACAAUGGGAAGAGCCAUCCCGGUAUGAAAACCCGCCUGCAACGAAAGAAAGUAGGAAUUGAUCUUAGCUCCUCUUCCCCUAUUUGGCAUUGCAGUUUAAUCUUUUUUUAUUAAUCCCAGCAAACAAAAAGAAAACCCUCAUUCUCUGAAAACUACUACCAUCUAGUUACCUCUCGACUACUAGAAAGUAGAAACAGCACCAAGGAAGCAAUAAAACCAAAGCAGAAAAGAGAUUGAAGCAUGCCAAUAAAAAGAGGGGUGUUUAAGGUAAUCCAGGAAGGAUAGCUCCAGGAGGUCAUUGUUCUUCCUUACCUAGAAGUGGGAAGCCUCCUUAAAAUGCCUUGGAAAGUGUGUGUGGCACCAAGGAGAGAAAGUACCUGAGCCUGCCUGCAGUGCCUCUCCUCCUCUAGAGUAGGAAACAGCUUUAAGAACUUGCCUCCUUUAAAUGCCUUUGAAAGAGUGUGUGGCAUGCAAGCCUGAGAGAUAAAGCGUGCGUGCCUGCCUUCAGUACCUCUCCUCCUCUAUUGUAGGAAACAUUUUAAAUGCCUAAAAUGAUGGGUAGGGGAGCCUGCAAAGUCCCCCCCCCCCCAAUAAUGGGUCGGAUAGAAAACAAAUCUUUCAACUCCCCAGAGCAAAAACAAAUUUCUGCCCUUGCAAAUUCAGAAGUGUGAUGUCUCAGGGACCUUUGGCCCAUGACCCCCCAGCCAUCAUAGAUCAAACUGAAGAGGAUUUGCACUUUUUCCCACCUCAGCAAGUUUCUGUUCCAUUCCAGAUGUCCCCUGUUGACAUUUUCGUGCCAGAGCCAAUUAGAGACGCCCUUGAAACAGAGCCUGGUUCCCCGGAAAGUGUUGUGUUUGAUAUGAAGGCCUUUCUCAAAACACAUCGCUCCCAUAAGCAGUUUCUAAGACGAAGCGUGAGAUUAGCGGAGAGAGACGAUUGUAAUUAAUCCAUUUCCCUUGGGAAGUUUUGGGGAGGCAGACAUGUUGAAACAGCUUCAUUCUCUAGGAAGAUUUGGGGAGUUAAACACCUGUUGGGGGAAGCUCUUGAACUUUCAUAAAAGUUCUGCACUGAGCUUUCCCUAUCUCGGUGUCAACGUGACUAUUCAGAGAAGAACAUCGAUUCUUGUUUCCGAGCUUCUAAGCGGCCCUCCGGUGCGCUUACUCACGAGUAAACCGGGAGUUGCGUUUCCACUCCUGAUCAAGUUUGGACUGCGUUUCAGAUCCACCACGAAUUAUCUUGCCUAGCCUCGAAUCCUUGUCUGGACUUUACUUCAAGAAUCUCCUUGUGAAUCCUUGCUCUUUCCCCACUCAAACUUCCAAAGAGUUUGAGUGUGUUUCGGUUAUUGGAUUGUAGACUUUGGACUCUAAUACUGGACAUAUAACUUCAUUUAUUUGGACUAUUUUUGAUCUUUCCUAAAAGGACAAUUGCUUGACUAUAUACUCUGUAUACUUUUGUUUUAUUCUUUUAUUGCAUUAAUAAAGAUAUUAGAUUGUU